GGCCGGAUAGCUCAGCCCGUUAGAGCGCGGUGCUAAUAACGCUAAGAUGGUGGGUUCAAUCCUCACUCUGGCCA
Trichuris trichiura (human whipworm) is the source of this 74-nucleotide non-coding RNA. Lineage: Eukaryota; Metazoa; Nematoda; Enoplea; Trichinellida; Trichuridae. The record is from Rfam.